Molecule: long non-coding RNA, 974 nt
Filed under: Pan troglodytes (chimpanzee)
Lineage: Eukaryota; Metazoa; Chordata; Mammalia; Primates; Hominidae
Description: long non-coding RNA NONPTRT001471
Source: RNAcentral
CAGCGUAGGUGACAGAGUGAGACCCCGUUCCAAAGACAAAAAAGCCGUUAAAGUGCUUCAUAACAGGAGACCCCCAACACCUGGGGGAAGGGGCUUAGGUGAUCAUAACACCUGGGGGAAAGGGCUUGAGUGACCCACAGAGCUGGCUCUUGUAGCAGCCAGUUUGGUCUGGUCUGUCUGGGGUACUGGCUGCUUCUGCCCCUCUCUCCUCCACCUCCUCCUCCUUUUCUGUCUUCUUCCCCCUCUGCCCCUCUCCUCCUCUCCCUCUUCUCCUCUCUCUCCUCCUCUCCUUUCUCACCCCCUGCUCCUCCUCCUCCCUGUCCACUGAGGAGCACAGGGCACCUGAAUUGGCCAUCACAGGCCAAGCAUGGGAAGCCUCUGGCUCCUGGAACAGAUUUAGAGCAGGAGGAACCUUCCAGAACCCAUUCUGUGCCAGAUUCAGAUGGGGAAACUGAGGCCAAGCAAGAGACCCCCCGCGAGCUCAGCCUCGUCCUCCCCUGGAACCUUCGGGAGAGUAUCGCCACCUCCAGGGAGCAGCCAGGCCUGGAUACCCGCCCCAGGCCCUGGCUCUGCCUCUGAUCACAACCCCCCACCAGGGCUGGCCUCUCCUCAAACCUGGGCACAGCCUAGUGCCAAGCCCUUGCUGAGGGCCCCUGCUGCAUCCCCAGUCACCAGCCUGGAGAGGACACCCGGGCUGCUCUCUACACUGCCAGGGCACCCUCCUCUCCACCCUCCUCACGCCAAGGCAGCCAGCAGGACCCCUGAGCCAGCCUCGGGGCUGGAGGGCUUCGGGUUUUACUCUAAUGGUGCUGGGAUCGUCCGGCCAGAGACAAUGAAGUUGACCCCUGAUGCUGAGAUCCUGAGCCCCACGGGGUCACCACAUCCCCACGUCUGCCAUGACAACAGUCCCAGCUGCCCAGGGCUGGGGAAGGCCUGCCUGGCACCCCGCAUACCAGGAAGGAGCAUGAUUGGCU